CAGUGAUAAACUGGAGGAAGGUGGGGAUGACGUCAAGUCAUCAUGGCCCUUACGACCAGGGCUACACACGUGCUACAAUGGCGCAUACAAAGAGAAGCGACCUCGCGAGAGCAAGCGGACCUCAUAAAGUGCGUCGUAGUCCGGAUUGGAGUCUGCAACUCGACUCCAUGAAGUCGGAAUCGCUAGUAAUCGUGGAUCAGAAUGCCACGGUGAAUACGUUCCCGGGCCUUGUACACACCGCCCGUCACACCAUGGGAGUGGGUUGCAAAAGAAGUAGGUAGC
This 282-nucleotide ribosomal RNA is filed under the name Salmonella enterica subsp. enterica serovar Typhimurium. RNAcentral describes it as "partial 16S ribosomal RNA". It matches the Rfam family "Bacterial small subunit ribosomal RNA", at positions 1153 to 1434 of the family's 1533-position model. Lineage: Bacteria; Pseudomonadati; Pseudomonadota; Gammaproteobacteria; Enterobacterales; Enterobacteriaceae. The record is from RNAcentral. RNAcentral also lists the same sequence under 2 other names.